UAAGAUUUACCCUUUUUCAAUUAAGCGCAAUUACGCUAAUUGUUAUUACGCGACCAAUCAUGCGCUUCCAUCCGUGAAUUCCGUAUAUAUACCUUUAUGCUUCUACGUCAGAUCACAGUUUCAGCGCAAAAACGGUCUUCAGCCUGUACGAUAAACGUGGACAGCAGACUCGGACACUUGGAGUUGUCGUCCCGGACAUCCCGCGUUUGAGAAGCACGUGUCGCAAAGUGUUGCCGGAAACAGCUUUCUGAAAAUAUUCUGAUAUCGGUAAUUGCAGAGCUCUGUUACUUGACGUAUUUUAGCGAAUGGUGCUAGACUUUUGGAGUAAAUUAUAAAAUUUAAUAAUUUCACAUUAAACAGCAAUAUAAAUGUAAUAAUAGUUAAAUAUGUGUCGAUAAUGAAUGCAGUUGAAAAUGCAAUACAUUGAAAUCAAUAAACAUACAUAUCAUACUUAUAAA
This is a long non-coding RNA of Monomorium pharaonis (pharaoh ant), 458 nucleotides long. RefSeq lists it as uncharacterized. NCBI's taxonomy places the organism in Eukaryota, Metazoa, Arthropoda, Insecta, Hymenoptera, Formicidae. The record is from RefSeq and is a predicted model, not a curated record. The transcript is spliced from 2 exons.